Molecule: long non-coding RNA, 1241 nt
Organism: Macadamia integrifolia
Lineage: Eukaryota; Viridiplantae; Streptophyta; Magnoliopsida; Proteales; Proteaceae
Exons: 2
Source: RefSeq, a predicted model, not a curated record
AAAGAAGUGAAAUUUGUGGUUUCAUUGGUGUUCUUAAGAAAGAGGAACAAAUCAAUUAUGGCUUAUCCCCGUGCAAAUACUUUGGAUAAUACUCUAUGUAGGUGGACUGUGAGCAUGAAUGUGGAUGAUUCUAGGCUAAUAGAACACACAAAUCUUCAAGUUCUUAGCCAGAUUCACUGUAUGGAAUUAUGCCAUGAUUUGCUAAAGGAAGUUCCCAAGCAUUAGGAUCGUAGCCUGCACGUGUUCAAAUUUGGGUUAGUAGAAAUUUGUCCAACUCUAGAAGAAUUCAGAGCCUGCUUGCUUUCUCCACCCAAAGGGACGCUUUUUCGUCCUAUUCUACAAGUAGACUGUACCAAGGGUAUCCAAGAAUUAUUCGGAUGGAAUAGAAAGGAAAUGAAGAAGUUCAUAGUUUUCAAACAAAUAGACAUCUUUGAAGUAGCCAAAGCUUUUUCUCGAUAUAGACAUUUGGAGGGAAUGGAUCAGUGGCGUAGAGGUAAUGUCUAUCUAUUCUGCAUGAUAGCAUGGUAUUUGUUGCGUUAUCCUAGAUGUGGAUCUAUUCCCACCAUCAUCAAAAUAGUAUUAUAGCUUUGAAAAGGUUGUGACAUUGUUCCUACAAUCCUAGCUGAAACACUUAAAGGACUAGGCCAGAUGGUCAUUUCUGGGAAAUUUGGUACAAAUCACUACAUCGGGUGUCCUACUGCUUUCCAACUUUGGUUAACUGAGAAGUUACAACUAUUGAGGCCUUUCCAACAUAGUGAGCUGACAGCAAUCCAGUACCAGAUAAGGAGGGAAAUUCCAGAAUUCCACUUAAUUGCUAGUUGGCAGGAGUACCUUCAAGAGAAAACUGAAGAUACUAUCAGAUGGACCUAUCAAUGGUCGCCAAUUGAGAAUCUUGUUAUGAAUACCCUAGGGUGCAAUUAUGUUAGGCUGAUGGGUUUGACUCAAACGUCAUUUUAUCUACCUACUCAUCUAUAGUGGCAAUAUCAGUUACCUCAAACAGAUCCAGGAGAAGUGGUGAACUUCUAUCCCCUAGAGGAGCUAUCCGCUAGUGUCAUAGAUUUGCUGGCAGAUUUGUGGCAAAGGCAGCUGGUGUAAGGUCUUUUAGAAGAAAAAGUUCCAAACACUUAAGUGAAGACAGUUGAAGAUCUAGUUUUUUGGUUUAUUGAAUUUCCAUGUAACCAUUUUUCGUUUGUUGUAAACCUAAGCUUGGAGUUGAAAUAAAUUUAGCCUUUUCUAUCUAA